UCUCACGCGUCUAGGAUCCGAAGCAGAUCGUUCAAACAUUUGGCAAUAAAGUUUCUUAAGAUUGAAUCCUGUUGCCGGUCUUGCGAUGAUUAUCAUAUAAUUUCUGUUGAAUUACGUUAAGCAUGUAAUAAUUAACAUGUAAUGCAUGACGUUAUUUAUGAGAUGGGUUUUUAUGAUUAGAGUCCCGCAAUUAUACAUUUAAUACGCGAUAGAAAACAAAAUAUAGCGCGCAAACUAGGAUAAAUUAUCGCGCGCGGUGUCAUCUAUGUUACUAGAUCGGGAAGAUCC
Molecule: unclassified non-coding RNA, 288 nt
Filed under: unidentified
Source: RNAcentral